UCCUACGGGAGGCAGCAGUGGGGAAUAUUGGACAAUGGGCGCAAGCCUGAUCCAGCAAUGCCGCGUGAGUGAGGAAGGCCUUAGGGUUGUAAAGCUCUUUCGCACGCGACGAUGAUGACGGUAGCGUGAGAAGAAGCCCCGGCUAACUUCGUGCCAGCAGCCGCGGUA
RNAcentral lists this ribosomal RNA (168 nucleotides) under uncultured Azospirillum sp. RNAcentral's name for it is "partial 16S ribosomal RNA". It matches the Rfam family "Bacterial small subunit ribosomal RNA", at positions 337 to 522 of the family's 1533-position model. The record is from RNAcentral. Lineage: Bacteria; Pseudomonadati; Pseudomonadota; Alphaproteobacteria; Rhodospirillales; Azospirillaceae.